RNAcentral lists this non-coding RNA (74 nucleotides) under Sporomusa sp. KB1. The record is from RNAcentral. Lineage: Bacteria; Bacillati; Bacillota; Negativicutes; Selenomonadales; Sporomusaceae.
GAGAGCCGUAUGCGGUUAACGUCGCUUGUACGGUUCGAGAAGGGGCGAGUUACUUUGCUAAUCGCCUAUUUCAU